AGAAUCAACGCUGGCGGCGUGCCUAACACAUGCAAGUCGAACGAGAAAGUGGAGCAAUCCAUGAGUAAAGUGGCGCACGGGUGAGUAACACGUGACUAACCUACCUUUUAGUGGGGGAUAACCUAGGGAAACCUGGGCUAAUACCGCAUAAUACCUACGGGUCAAAGCAGCAAUGCGCUGAAAGAGGGGGUCGCGGUCGAUUAGUUAGUUGGCAGGGUAAUGGCCUACCAAGACUGUGAUCGAUAUCCGGCCUGAGAGGGCGCACGGACACACUGGAACUGAAACACGGUCCAGACUCCUACGGGAGGCAGCAGUGGGGAAUUUUGCGCAAUGGGGGAAACCCUGACGCAGCAACGCCGCGUGGAGGAUGAAGUCCCUUGGGACGUAAACUCCUUUCGAUCGGGACGAUAAUGACGGUACCGGAAGAAGAAGCCCGGCUAACUCGCGCCAGCAGCCGC
Molecule: ribosomal RNA, 458 nt
Filed under: uncultured bacterium
Lineage: Bacteria
Description: SSU rRNA
Rfam family: Bacterial small subunit ribosomal RNA
Source: RNAcentral